AUUGAACGCUGGCGGCAUGCCUUACACAUGCAAGUCGAACGGCAGCGGGCCUUCGGGUGCUGACGAGUGGCGGACGGGUGAGUAACGCGUAAGAAUCUGCCUCAUAGUGGGGGACAACGUGGGGAAACUCACGCUAAUACCGCAUACGCCCUACGGGGAAAGCGGGGAUCUUCGGACCUCGCGCUAUGAGAUGAGCCUGCGUUAGAUUAGCUAGUUGGUGGGGUAAAGGCCUACCAAGGCGACGAUCUAUAGCUGGUCUGAGAGGACGAUCAGCCACACUGGGACUGAGACACGGCCCAGACUCCUACGGGAGGCAGCAGUGGGGAAUAUUGGACAAUGGGCGCAAAGCCUGAUCCAGCAAUACCGCGUGUGUGAAGAAGGCCCUAGGGUUGUAAAGCACUUUCAAUUGGGAGGAAAAACCCUGCCGGUUAAUACCCGUAGCUUGACAUUACCAAUAGAAGAAGCACCGGCUAACUCCGUGCCAGCAGCCGCGGU
This 495-nucleotide ribosomal RNA is filed under the name uncultured bacterium. RNAcentral describes it as "bacterial SSU rRNA". It matches the Rfam family "Bacterial small subunit ribosomal RNA", at positions 30 to 521 of the family's 1533-position model. The record is from RNAcentral.